This is a long non-coding RNA of Mus musculus (house mouse), 560 nucleotides long. RefSeq annotates it as predicted gene, 39555. NCBI's taxonomy places the organism in Eukaryota, Metazoa, Chordata, Mammalia, Rodentia, Muridae. The record is from RefSeq and is a predicted model, not a curated record. The transcript has 3 exons.
AAUACUGCAGAAGCAUGCUAACUUCCAGAAUGAUUUGUGUGACCUGUGAGAUAUGAGUGCCCUGACACUGAUGACAAGAAAGCUCUGUUCAGCGCACAGAGAAAGAGGAAUCAGGAAGAGCAGCCACUUACAAACUAGAAGAAGAAACUUCCUAUCUCAGCCAUGGGAGAGAUGACCUGGUGUCAACUUAGAGACAACAAAAAAUGAUGAUCCAUGAGAUGCACUCCACUACCAUUGACUAAGCAUCUGAGACUCAGAUGAAGACCUCUCAACUGACGAUGCAGAGAGUACAGUCAUUGGCCAUCAGUUCUCCACCCUUGCUGCAGAAACGGAGCCUUCUUGGUUCGGCGCCUGAGACUGCCAGGUUCACCUCCUCCUCCAUGUCUCCGUUUGGUGCCUGGAACUGUUUAUGGCAAUCCAAGAUAAAAUGCAGAAUGUUUGAAGACUGCCUGGGACUGUUAGAGGGCUGACAUACCAAGAUAAGGUGUGAAAAGCAUGUAAUCAGCAUUUGCCCCCGAUCAGUCCAUCAGUUUCUCUGUACUUUGUUGUGCCCUGUCCAC